This is a long non-coding RNA of Papaver somniferum (opium poppy), 934 nucleotides long. RefSeq lists it as uncharacterized. The record is from RefSeq and is a predicted model, not a curated record. The transcript has 8 exons. NCBI's taxonomy places the organism in Eukaryota, Viridiplantae, Streptophyta, Magnoliopsida, Ranunculales, Papaveraceae.
UUGCAGAAGCCAUUCAAUCCCUUUGAUUCAUACCCGGAUGCGUUAUGCUAGAACAACACAUAAACCUCAACAAAGGUUAUCAUUUCUUUCUUCAGCAUAUUCUCUCCAGUCUCGAGAGUCGAGACUGCCAGAAUUUGUGAGUGCAUGAUAUAUUUGGAGACAAACCAGUAUCAAUCUCAGUGUCAAUUGCAAUUCAACUUCGUUUAACCAUUGGCAUUACAGCCUUCGUGGAGAAGACCCUUCAACUCUAUAAAACGAAGAGCAACUUUAUGUGCAAUAAUAAAUGCUACUCCAUCCUCUACCUGGAAUUGCAAUUCACUGUUGUGUUUUUUUGGUCUAGCAUGCGAAGCUCAAGCUAUGCUAAUUUUUUAACAUUCUGGGUUGGAUUAGUGAGGGAAAGAGACAAAAAGUACAGAGCCGCUUACAAAUCCCAGUAUCUCCGUCCAGAAUACAAAUUAGUUGAAGAAAAGAUUAGGGAAGAAGAGAUCAGGGAAUAAGAUUUUGAUAAAGGGAGAUCCUAGAGAGUGCAGGAUACAAACAUAUCAACCCAACUUCAAAACACGAACGAGCAGCAGAAAAAAAGAAGAAAAAAAAAGAGAUAGUUGGAGUUGUUACUUGAAUCCUAGUUCAGAGCAUUGACGUGGUCCACCUAAGUUUAAGUGCAGGUUCCAAGUUAUGGGUGUAGGAGGGAAGAAGAAGAAGAAGUGUUCUCGAAAAGUGAAAUCUGCGAUUCAUGUGAAUGAAACAGUGUUGGAUGCCACUGUUGAGGACAAAAGAGUGGUAUCUACAUAUGGUGUUGAAAGGAUGUUUGUUCACCCUGCCAGGUACCGGGCUUAUACGUGCAAGGUAAAAACAUACUCGAGCCUGAAGGUUUUGAAGUGGGUGCGUAACUUGUUGUCUCCUUCCGAGCAAGAGAAAUUUAUGUCAAAUACAA